This 247-nucleotide long non-coding RNA is filed under the name Pan troglodytes (chimpanzee). RNAcentral's name for it is "long non-coding RNA NONPTRT014457". Lineage: Eukaryota; Metazoa; Chordata; Mammalia; Primates; Hominidae. The record is from RNAcentral.
CACUGUGAGACCUACAGUGAUAGUCACGUAAUACUCUUUUCCUCUGGGCCAUUGUUUUCUUGGAUUAUAUUGACAACUUAUAUUGUAAGGAAAUCUCCCAGAGUGACCCUGUUAAGAUGUCAGAAAUAUCAUAGCACAUGUCAGCUUGAAGCCAGUACAUUACUUCUGAUAAUACAACAAUCCCAUGAGUAAGCGCACCCCUUGCGUCCAAAGGUGGUAAAAAGACUUCCAAAGGAUUCUCCUCAUG